AGAGUUUGAUCAUGGCUCAGGACGAAUGCUGGCGGCGUGCUUAACACAUGCAAGUGGAGCGACGAACCGGGCUUCGGCCCGGGGCAAAGCCGCGAACGGGUGAGUAUCACGUGGGUAACCUGCCCCGAUGACCGGGAUAACCCGAGGAAACUCGAGCUAAUACCGGAUGUGCUCCCAAUCCAUCAGGGUUGGAAGUAAAGGAAGCUUCGGCCUCCGCAUUGGGAUGGGCCCGCGGCCCAUUAGCUUGUUGGUGAGGUAACGGCUCACCAAGGCAACGAUGGGUAGCUGGUCUGAGAGGACGAUCAGCCACACUGGGACUGAGACACGGCCCAGACUCCUACGGGAGGCAGCAGUGGGGAAUCUUGCGCAAUGCGCGAAAGCGUGACGCAGCAACGCCGCGUGAGGGAAGAAGGCUUUCGGGUUGUAAACCUCUUUCAGGAGGGACGAAGGUUCAGGCGCGAAUAGCGUCCUGGACUGACGGUACCUCCAGAAGAAGCCCCGGCUAACUACGUGCCAGCAGCCGCGGUAAUACGUAGGGGGCUAGCGUUGUCCGGAAUCAUUGGGCGUAAAGCGCGCGUAGGCGGCCCGGUAAGUCCGCUGUGAAAGUCAAAGGCUCAACCUUUGAAUGUCAGCGGAUACUGCCGGGCUAGAGUCCGGAAGAGGCGAGUGGAACUCCUGGUGUAGCGGUGGAAUGCGCAGAUAUCAGGAAGAACACCAACGGCGAAGGCAGCUCGCUGGGACGGAACUGACGCUAAGGCGCGAAGGCGUGGGGAGCGAACAGGAUUAGAUACCCUAGUAGUCC
This 802-nucleotide ribosomal RNA is filed under the name uncultured bacterium. RNAcentral describes it as "bacterial SSU rRNA". It matches the Rfam family "Bacterial small subunit ribosomal RNA", at positions 8 to 796 of the family's 1533-position model. The record is from RNAcentral.